RNAcentral lists this ribosomal RNA (497 nucleotides) under uncultured bacterium. Its description in RNAcentral is "partial 16S ribosomal RNA". It matches the Rfam family "Bacterial small subunit ribosomal RNA", at positions 28 to 507 of the family's 1533-position model. The record is from RNAcentral.
GAUGAACGCUGGCGGCGUGCCUAAUACAUGCAAGUCGAGCGAACGGACGAGAAGCUUGCUUCUCUGCUGUUAGCGGCGGACGGGUGAGUAACACGUGGAUAACCUACCUAUAAGACUGGGAUAACUUCGGGAAACCGUAUCUAAUACCGGAUAAUAUUUUGAACCGCAUGGUUCAAAAGUGAUAGACGGUCUUGCUGUCACUUAUAGCUGGAUCCGCGCUGCAUUAGCUAGUUGGUAAGGUACCGGCUUACCAAGGCAACGAUGCAUAGCCGACCUGAGAGGGUGAUCGGCCACACUGGAACUGAGACACGGUCCAGACUCCUACGGGAGGCAGCAGUAGGGAAUCUUGCGCAAUGGGCGAAAGCCUGACGGAGCAACGCCGCGUGAGUGAUGAAGGUCUUCGGAUCGUAAAACUCUGUUAUUAGGAAAGAACAGAUGUAUAAGUAACUGCGCACAUCUUGACGGUACCUAAUCAGAAAGCCACGGCUAACUACGUG